Molecule: small nuclear RNA, 179 nt
Filed under: Equus caballus (horse)
Lineage: Eukaryota; Metazoa; Chordata; Mammalia; Perissodactyla; Equidae
Description: 7SK RNA
Rfam family: 7SK RNA
About the family: 7SK was discovered as an abundant small nuclear RNA in the mid-70s but a possible function has only recently been suggested.
Source: Rfam by way of RNAcentral
AAGUAUGCAGGGGAUCUGGUUGGGACAUCCACCACGUGUGGAUUGCUAGGAUCUAUCUGGCCAAGCUCCCUGUCUAGGCAGUGUCCCCUUCCUCUUCACUCCCUCAGGGCUUCUUUCAGGACUGCACACCUGUUGGAGAGGAUGAUCUUGGCAGAGAGAGGGAAUGUCCUACUGGGAUG